AGUGAACGCUGGCGGUAGGCCUAACACAUGCAAGUCGAACGGCAGCACAGUAAGAGCUUGCUCUUACGGGUGGCGAGUGGCGGACGGGUGAGGAAUACAUCGGAAUCUACUUUUUCGUGGGGGAUAACGUAGGGAAACUUACGCUAAUACCGCAUACGACCUACGGGUGUAAGCAUGGGAUCUUCGGACCUUGCGCGAUUGAAUGAGCCGAUGUCGGAUUAGCUAGUUGGCGGGGUAAAGGCCCACCAAGGCGACGAUCCGUAGCUGGUCUGAGAGGAUGAUCAGCCACACUAGAACUGAAACACGGUCCAGACUCCUACGAGAGGCAGCAGUGGGGAAUAUUGGACAAUGGGCGCAAGCCUGAUCCAGCCAUACCGCGUGGGUGAAGAAGGCCUUCGGGUUGUAAAGCCCUUUUGUUGGGAAAGAAAAGCAGCAGGUUAAUACCCCGCUGUUCUGACGGUACCCAAAGAAUAAGCACCGGCUAACUUCGUG
This 492-nucleotide ribosomal RNA is filed under the name uncultured bacterium. RNAcentral describes it as "partial 16S ribosomal RNA". It matches the Rfam family "Bacterial small subunit ribosomal RNA", at positions 29 to 507 of the family's 1533-position model. The record is from RNAcentral.